CAGUCGCCACGGUAAUACAGAGGGUGCGAGCGUUAAUCGGAUUUACUGGGCGUAAAGCGUGCGUAGGUGGUGGUUUAAGUCCGUUGUGAAAGCCCUGGGCUCAACCUGGGAAUUGCAGUGGAUACUGGGUCACUAGAGUGUGGUAGAGGAUAGUGGAAUUUCCGGUGUAGCAGUGAAAUGCGUAGAGAUCGGAAGGAACAUCUGUGGCGAAGGCGACUAUCUGGGCCAACACUGACACUGAGGCACGAAAGCGUGGGGAGCAAACAGGAUUAGAUACCCCUGUAGUCCCUGUCUCUUAUAC
Molecule: ribosomal RNA, 301 nt
Filed under: uncultured bacterium
Lineage: Bacteria
Description: partial 16S ribosomal RNA
Rfam family: Bacterial small subunit ribosomal RNA
Source: RNAcentral